ACACUGUCCACCGUCGGUUAAUCAGCAGUCUUGAGAUGGAUUUCGUGGUGACCGUUUUCGGAGCGUUAUUGCUGAUGUUCUAUCGCUGCGCUGUGCUGCUGACCGUGUGCUGCACCUAGUGUUGGGCGUGUGAUGCAGCAAUAUUUAUUUCCCUAGAACGUAGUGUGUCGCUACAAGGCCUACAAGAGUACUUAACAAUGGUGCAAAUGCAAAACACCAGCUGAGGAGACAUGGAUGGAACAGUCACAAUAGAAUAACAUCGGAAUUUAAGCAAGCGACAUGAUGUAUAAGAAAUAAAUGAAUCUACAUCUACCUGAAUCAAUCAACACAACGUAAAGAAUUUCAUUCAGUA
Anopheles stephensi (Asian malaria mosquito) is the source of this 352-nucleotide long non-coding RNA. RefSeq lists it as uncharacterized. The transcript has 2 exons. The record is from RefSeq and is a predicted model, not a curated record. NCBI's taxonomy places the organism in Eukaryota, Metazoa, Arthropoda, Insecta, Diptera, Culicidae.